UACGUAGGGGGCAAGCGUUGUCCGGAAUCAUUGGGCGUAAAGAGCGUGUAGGCGGCUCGAUAAGUCCGCUGUGAAAGUCCAGGGCUCAACCCUGGAAGGCCGGUGGAAACUGUCGGGCUAGAGUCCGUAAGAGGCGAGUGGAAUUCCCGGUGUAGCGGUGAAAUGCGCAGAUAUCGGGAGGAACACCAAUGGCGAAGGCAGCUCGCUGGGACGGUACUGACGCUGAGACGCGAAAGCGUGGGGAGCAAACAGG
Molecule: ribosomal RNA, 253 nt
Filed under: uncultured bacterium
Lineage: Bacteria
Description: partial 16S ribosomal RNA
Rfam family: Bacterial small subunit ribosomal RNA
Source: RNAcentral